This 434-nucleotide ribosomal RNA is filed under the name uncultured bacterium. RNAcentral describes it as "bacterial SSU rRNA". It matches the Rfam family "Bacterial small subunit ribosomal RNA", at positions 958 to 1392 of the family's 1533-position model. The record is from RNAcentral.
AACGCGAAGAACCUUACCUGGGUUUGACAUACACCGGAAAACCGUAGAGAUACGGUCCCCCUUGUGGUCGGUGUACAGGUGGUGCAUGGCUGUCGUCAGCUCGUGUCGUGAGAUGUUGGGUUAAGUCCCGCAACGAGCGCAACCCUUGUCUUAUGUUGCCAGCGCGUUAUGGCGGGGACUCGUAAGAGACUGCCGGGGUCAACUCGGAGGAAGGUGGGGACGACAUCAAGUCAUCAUGCCCCUUAUGUCCAGGGCUUCACACAUGCUACAAUGGCCAGUACAGAGGGCUGCGAGACCGUGAGGUGGAGCGAAUCCCUUAAAGCUGGUCUCAGUUCGGAUCGGGGUCUGCAACUCGACCCCGUGAAGUCGGAGUCGCUAGUAAUCGCAGAUCAACAACGCUGCGGUGAAUACGUUCCCGGGUCUUGUACACACCG